RNAcentral lists this ribosomal RNA (204 nucleotides) under Mytilus chilensis. RNAcentral describes it as "partial 16S ribosomal RNA". Lineage: Eukaryota; Metazoa; Mollusca; Bivalvia; Mytilida; Mytilidae. The record is from RNAcentral.
AAGACCCCRUGAAGCUUUAUCUUAAUUGGAGCUUUCAGGCUCUUAUACGAUUUUGAUGGGAGAUCAGUAGAAAUAAAUCUUCUACUAUUAUAUUAAUCUUACUAGUAUUUCCUAACUUUAUAUGUGUGGCUAGCUACUCUAGGGAUAACAGCGCAAUUUCUCCCGAAAGAUGGUAUUGGAGGGGAAGAUUGCCACCUCGAUGUU